This 564-nucleotide unclassified non-coding RNA is filed under the name Hevea brasiliensis (rubber tree). Lineage: Eukaryota; Viridiplantae; Streptophyta; Magnoliopsida; Malpighiales; Euphorbiaceae. The record is from RNAcentral.
UUGCACUUACAUCAGGAUCUUCCUUUGUGUGCGUGAUAUUAUCUGCUACAAUAACCAGGGGCUCCUUUUCUGGAGGAGGAAUCUCGUCAGCAAUAAUUGGUUUAUCAGGAGUCGAUGGUAAUGAUUCCUUUGCUGGGUAAGAAUUAACAUCGGAGAUCAAUUCCUCAUUUUCGUGAGUCAAGUUCUCGGAAAAAACCACAAUUUCUGAGUUAGUAGACAAUUCGUCCAAUUCGUCAGCAACAAUCAACAUUUCUGAAUUAACAGUAGGCUCCCCUUUUUUAUUAGCCAUCGAUUCUUCCUCUGUUAAUUGCUGAAGCGUAGCAUCUUCCCAAUCUUCGGAAACAACAAUUGUAUUCUUAGUUUCCCAGGUUUUGAAAAUUCGAUCAGGUCCUGGUUGCCACAAAAUCUUCCCAUUAUAAACUUGAACUGGAUGGAUUUUCCAAUGGGUAUAUCCAGCUCAAGAGUCCAAACAUGCCCGUCUGACCAGUUCAAUGGUAUGGCAUUUUCAGGAUCCCACAUGCCGAACAUUUGAUCAUCCCCUACUAGAGCAAAUUGCUCACCAAA